UUGUAUUUAUAUUUUUCAAUAUUAAUACAAUUAUUAUGCUGAUUACACCAAAAUGGAUAAAUCCGCAUCGCCCAAAUCUGAAAAGUCCUAAUUCAGAAUUAAUGUACAAGAACGUUAUAUUAGCAAACCAGUAGGUUAGCUGAAUGGGCAACAACACUGCAAACAGUAAAUUUACAUUUAUGCAUUUGGCAGAUUCUUUUGAUCAAAGCAACUUACAGUGCAUUCAAGAUAUAUAUAUAUAUAUAUAUAUAUAUAUAUAAAGGUAAAGGUGGCUUGACUUGACUCUUUCUCUACUGGACCAACCCCAGGAACAGGAACAUUUGAUAAAUGUGAAAAUCAUUGUUUUUUUUAGUAUUUUAGUGAUAAAACCGAAAGUACAUUUCAUAAUAAUCUUAUGUUUUAUGAUAAUGAUUGUGAAAAAGGUCAGUUUGGAGUUUUGUAGGCCUACUAUGUUUGUAAAUGUACCACUUGUGAAAAACUAAAACCGUGACGAGCAUCCUAAAACAGGCCCAUUCUGAAUCAUUCGCGCAUUAGUGACUCUUUUGAGUCUGUUCUUUUCAGUGAAUCAGCCAAAUGGUUACGCAAAGCCUGCAGUCUGAAUUAGGGAUACUUCAGAACACAGAAGAUAAAGAGGACAUUUACCUACCAUCAGCAGAAAUAAAAAGUACCAUGAAAGGACCGCUGUUACUGCAUUUACUUUUCCUAGGUACAGUGUCUGUUUUUAUGUUUUUUGGAGUGUGAGACUCUGUCACAAUAUAUGUUUACAUACUUAGCAAUACAAUAGUUAAUAUUUCCAAAAUGCAGUGUCAUCAGAAUAAACCAAAGAUUAUAGAAUACCUUAAAUGGACU
Long non-coding RNA from Cyprinus carpio (common carp), 849 nucleotides. Lineage: Eukaryota; Metazoa; Chordata; Actinopteri; Cypriniformes; Cyprinidae. The record is from Ensembl.